RNAcentral lists this ribosomal RNA (276 nucleotides) under uncultured bacterium. RNAcentral describes it as "partial 16S ribosomal RNA". It matches the Rfam family "Bacterial small subunit ribosomal RNA", at positions 355 to 622 of the family's 1533-position model. The record is from RNAcentral.
UAGGGAAUCUUCCACAAUGGACGCAAGUCUGAUGGAGCAACGCCGCGUGAGUGAAGAAGGCUUUCGGGUCGUAAAACUCUGCUAUUGAAGAAGAACGUGUGUGACAGUAGCUGGUCAUGCAGUGACGGUAUUCAAUCAGAGAGGUCACGGCUAACUACGUGCCAGCAGCCGCGGUAAUACGUAGGUGGCAAGCGUUGUCCGGAUUUAUUGGGCGUAAAGCGAGUGCAGGCGGUCUUUUAAGUCUGAUGUGAAAGCCUUCGGCUUAACCGAAGAAGG